ACUGCGGUUGAAAGGCGGCGUGGGCGGCGGACCCGCGCUCUGCAGCCGAGCUGGUGCGGGGAGGGCUGCGCGCGGGGGCUGGCUGUGGAGCAGCACCGCAGUGAGGAGUUAGCCCAAGGAAAAUCAGAUUAAAGGAAACUGCCUAGAGAUGCCACUGCAGCGUGCCCGGGUAGUCCUGUUGGCAGCCUGCCCCUAUGCAGCUUUUGGCAAUACAGAACAGCUUCUUGGGGCUCCCACGUGAGAAGGCUGUAACAGACAGACAGCAGCCACGAUGAAACACGCUGAAAAGAGCCAGCAGAAAAAAACGAGGAGAGACUGGUAUGACGGAGUGGAAUUCCGGUUGUGGAUGACAGAAUGGAAAUUUUACGCAAGAUGAAAGA
Molecule: long non-coding RNA, 380 nt
Filed under: Homo sapiens (human)
Lineage: Eukaryota; Metazoa; Chordata; Mammalia; Primates; Hominidae
Description: non-protein coding FOCAD-AS1:5
Source: RNAcentral